UGGAGGAUCGGAGCAGCACCGCCAGGGUCUGGCUACUGUCAAAUACUAAAACUCCCCACACAUCCAACCCAUCACACCCGGCUGCUACCCGAACAUGUUUGUCGCCCACAAAAUAGAAAGUAUAAGCUAGCCGCGGACGGGAAAGGAAAAAAAAAUGCAGCCUAAACAGACACACGGUGAGAGGUUAUGGGGAACUCGCGUCGCCCGGAUAGGAGAAAUUCUCCGAAAGGAGGAGACGAGAUCCAAACCCGACGAAACGAGGGGACUUGAUGUAACAGCCAAAGUACCAACCAUCCACUGCUACAUUAUAAAAUGUGUUGUUAUUACUCUUCACCUACAGCCCCUGAAGAGACUAUAAACGUGACGUCAAUGGGAGAAGACUGACGCGGCCAAAAGAGAGGAAAAACUCAACCAUCUGAGCACAAGCCACAUAGAGCAGCUUUAAUCACUCUCGUUCUUGACAUUUCUAGCUUUAAAUGGACGCUACAAAGGGCAAUUAUCUCCCUUUUAUCCCGACACCUCUAUAGCAAUAAAUAAAGGUAUUAAAAAAAACACGCACAAUAUUGGCUGGCGUG
This is a long non-coding RNA of Amblyraja radiata (thorny skate), 575 nucleotides long. RefSeq lists it as uncharacterized. The record is from RefSeq and is a predicted model, not a curated record. Lineage: Eukaryota; Metazoa; Chordata; Chondrichthyes; Rajiformes; Rajidae. The transcript has 4 exons.